UUUAUGUUUGAUGUUAUCUUUUAGUAUGUUUUAUUUAAUAAAAAAAUUUAAGUUUAAUAAAAAAAAUAUUUUUUUUUAAAAACCCUUAAUUAAGAACCUUGUAAUGGACCAAUUAAAUUUAUGGGUCUCUUAGCUUUGUUUCUUAACACACUUUUUCUACUAAAAUGCAUUAAAAAUUAAUAAGAACCCUAAUAGGGUAUUUGCAAUAAUCAUGCUCUUAUACGUAGUUGACAUUGAAGGCCUCAAGACGGAGUCAAGAGGAAGCGGCAGAUCUUGCUAGAAAGGGUUAGCGACAGCGCUUCAGCUUGCUGAUCCGUUCAGCAAAACCAAUCAGACUAAUGAUGUUGUCUUUCUUCGUAUAGCUACUCAUCCAAAGGGGAGGAAGAUGCUUACAAAGUUUUAGGUUUUGGAAGCAGCUGGGAAAGGGAGUUAAUAGUUUGUAUCUGACACACAAAACCCUCUUUUGAAAACUCUUGGAUCCAUCUCUUUCUUUCUCAUAUACCUCUUGUUUCUCUCGUUGGCUGUUUCAAGAUUUCACAUUUUCUGGUCUCUUCUCCUACUUUUGUAAUGGAGUUGAGAAUACAGUACACCACCAUAUUUAAAGCUGGUUCUGAUAUUUUCUAUAGUAGAUUGUUUGGUUUUACUUAUGAUCGUUUGGUAUAAACAGUCUUGAAAUUACUAUAGUGAAGGAUCUUAUUA
Brassica napus (rape) is the source of this 699-nucleotide long non-coding RNA. RefSeq lists it as uncharacterized. NCBI's taxonomy places the organism in Eukaryota, Viridiplantae, Streptophyta, Magnoliopsida, Brassicales, Brassicaceae. The transcript is spliced from 2 exons. The record is from RefSeq and is a predicted model, not a curated record.